UGCGUAGGGUGCGAGCGUUGUCCGGAAUUAUUGGGCGUAAAGAGCUUGUAGGCGGUUUGUCGCGUCUGCCGUGAAAAUCCGAGGCUCAACCUCGGACUUGCGGUGGGUACGGGCAGACUAGAGUGUGGUAGGGGAGACUGGAAUUCCUGGUGUAGCGGUGAAAUGCGCAGAUAUCAGGAGGAACACCGAUGGCGAAGGCAGGUCUCUGGGCCACUACUGACGCUGAGAAGCGAAAGCAUGGGGAGCGAACAGG
This 253-nucleotide ribosomal RNA is filed under the name uncultured bacterium. Its description in RNAcentral is "partial 16S ribosomal RNA". It matches the Rfam family "Bacterial small subunit ribosomal RNA", at positions 524 to 776 of the family's 1533-position model. The record is from RNAcentral.